ACAAUUGUUAUGUUGAACAAAAAUCCAUUUGGGAUUGGGAAAUUUAUGAAAACAGGCCAUGAAGUUCAAUGUACAAAACAUGUGUAUGUGAAUUUUGCCAAAAUGGACCAACUUCAAAUUGUUAUGUUGAACAAAAAUCCAUUUGGGAUUGGGAAAUUUAUGAAAACAGGCCAUGAAGUUCAAUGUACAAAACAUGUGUAUGUGAAUUUUGCCAAAAUGGACCAACUUCAAGC
Molecule: long non-coding RNA, 233 nt
Filed under: Lathyrus oleraceus (garden pea)
Lineage: Eukaryota; Viridiplantae; Streptophyta; Magnoliopsida; Fabales; Fabaceae
Description: Pisum sativum (pea) long non-coding RNA (PSAT_LNC032737)
Source: RNAcentral